Molecule: ribosomal RNA, 460 nt
Filed under: uncultured bacterium
Lineage: Bacteria
Description: partial 16S ribosomal RNA
Rfam family: Bacterial small subunit ribosomal RNA
Source: RNAcentral
CCUACGGGUGGCAGCAGUGAGGAAUAUUGGUCAAUGGACGAGAGUCUGAACCAGCCAAGUCGCGUGAAGGAUGACUGCCCUAUGGGUUGUACACUUCUUUUAUAAAGGAAUAAAACGAGGCACGUGUGCCUUUUUGCAUGUACUUUAUGAAUAAGGAUCGGCUAACUCAGUGCCAGCAGCCGCGGUAAUACGGAGGAUACGAGCGUUAUCCGGAUUUAUUGGGUUUAAAGGGAGCGUAGAUGGGUUGUUAAGUCAGUUGUGAAAUUUUGCGGCUCAACCGUAAAAUUGCAAGUGAUACUGGCAGUCUUGAGUACAGUUGAGGUAGGCGGAAUGCAUGGUGUAGCGGUGAAAUGCUUAGAUAUCACGAAGAACCCCGAUUGCGAAGGCAGCUUACUAAACUGUGACUGACAUUGAUGCUCGAAAGUGUGGGUAUCAAACAGGAUUAGAUACCCGGGUAGUC